AGAGUUUGAUCCUGGCUCAGAACGUACGCUGGCGGCACGCCUUAUACAUGCAAGUCGAACGAAGUAGCAAUACUUAGUGGCAGACGGGUGAGUAACAUGUAGGUAUCUUCCCUUUGGUGAGGAAUAACACGAGGAAACUUGUGCUAAUACCUCAUAAGUCUUUACGGAGAAAGCUUUAUGCGCCGAAGGAUGAGCCUGCACUUGAUUAGUUUGUUGGUGGGGUAAUGGCCUACCAAGACUUUGAUCUAUAGCUGAUCUGAGAGGAUGAUCAGCCACAUUGGGACUGAGACACGGCCCAAACUCCUACGGGAGGCAGCAGUAGGGAAUAUUGCACAAUGGAGGAAACUCUGAUGCAGCGAUGCCGCGUGAGUGAAGAAGGCCUUUGGGUUGUAAAGCUCUUUCGUCGGGGAAGAAAAUGACUGUACCCGAAUAAGAAGGUCCGGCUAACUUCGUGCCAGCAGCCGCGGU
Molecule: ribosomal RNA, 468 nt
Filed under: uncultured bacterium
Lineage: Bacteria
Description: bacterial SSU rRNA
Rfam family: Bacterial small subunit ribosomal RNA
Source: RNAcentral